Molecule: ribosomal RNA, 253 nt
Filed under: uncultured bacterium
Lineage: Bacteria
Description: partial 16S ribosomal RNA
Rfam family: Bacterial small subunit ribosomal RNA
Source: RNAcentral
GACGAACCGUGCGAACGUUGUUCGGAAUCACUGGGCUUGAAGGGCGCGUAGGCGGCUUGCCAAGUCAGGGGUGAAAUCCAGCAGCUUAACUGUUGAAGUGCCUUUGAUACUGGCGAGCUCGAGGGAGGUAGGGGUCUGUGGAACUUCUGGUGGAGCGGUGAAAUGCGUUGAUAUCAGAAGGAACGCCGGUGGCGAAAGCGACGGACUGGACCUCUUCUGACGCUGAGGCGCGAAAGCUAGGGGAGCAAACGGG